Molecule: ribosomal RNA, 1554 nt
Filed under: Klebsiella variicola
Lineage: Bacteria; Pseudomonadati; Pseudomonadota; Gammaproteobacteria; Enterobacterales; Enterobacteriaceae
Description: bacterial SSU rRNA
Rfam family: Bacterial small subunit ribosomal RNA
Source: RNAcentral
ACUUAAAUUGAAGAGUUUGAUCAUGGCUCAGAUUGAACGCUGGCGGCAGGCCUAACACAUGCAAGUCGAGCGGUAGCACAGAGAGCUUGCUCUCGGGUGACGAGCGGCGGACGGGUGAGUAAUGUCUGGGAAACUGCCUGAUGGAGGGGGAUAACUACUGGAAACGGUAGCUAAUACCGCAUAACGUCGCAAGACCAAAGUGGGGGACCUUCGGGCCUCAUGCCAUCAGAUGUGCCCAGAUGGGAUUAGCUGGUAGGUGGGGUAACGGCUCACCUAGGCGACGAUCCCUAGCUGGUCUGAGAGGAUGACCAGCCACACUGGAACUGAGACACGGUCCAGACUCCUACGGGAGGCAGCAGUGGGGAAUAUUGCACAAUGGGCGCAAGCCUGAUGCAGCCAUGCCGCGUGUGUGAAGAAGGCCUUCGGGUUGUAAAGCACUUUCAGCGGGGAGGAAGGCGGUGAGGUUAAUAACCUCAUCGAUUGACGUUACCCGCAGAAGAAGCACCGGCUAACUCCGUGCCAGCAGCCGCGGUAAUACGGAGGGUGCAAGCGUUAAUCGGAAUUACUGGGCGUAAAGCGCACGCAGGCGGUCUGUCAAGUCGGAUGUGAAAUCCCGGGCUCAACACCGGGAACUGCAUUCGAAACUGGCAGGCUAGAGUCUUGUAGAGGGGGGUAGAAUUCCAGGUGUAGCGGUGAAAUGCGUAGAGAUCUGGAGGAAUACCGGUGGCGAAGGCGGCCCCCUGGACAAAGACUGACGCUCAGGUGCGAAAGCGUGGGGAGCAAACAGGAUUAGAUACCCUGGUAGUCCACGCUGUAAACGAUGUCGAUUUGGAGGUUGUGCCCUUGAGGCGUGGCUUCCGGAGCUAACGCGUUAAAUCGACCGCCUGGGGAGUACGGCCGCAAGGUUAAAACUCAAAUGAAUUGACGGGGGCCCGCACAAGCGGUGGAGCAUGUGGUUUAAUUCGAUGCAACGCGAAGAACCUUACCUGGUCUUGACAUCCACAGAACUUUCCAGAGAUGGAUUGGUGCCUUCGGGAACUGUGAGACAGGUGCUGCAUGGCUGUCGUCAGCUCGUGUUGUGAAAUGUUGGGUUAAGUCCCGCAACGAGCGCAACCCUUAUCCUUUGUUGCCAGCGGUUAGGCCGGGAACUCAAAGGAGACUGCCAGUGAUAAACUGGAGGAAGGUGGGGAUGACGUCAAGUCAUCAUGGCCCUUACGACCAGGGCUACACACGUGCUACAAUGGCAUAUACAAAGAGAAGCGACCUCGCGAGAGCAAGCGGACCUCAUAAAGUAUGUCGUAGUCCGGAUUGGAGUCUGCAACUCGACUCCAUGAAGUCGGAAUCGCUAGUAAUCGUAGAUCAGAAUGCUACGGUGAAUACGUUCCCGGGCCUUGUACACACCGCCCGUCACACCAUGGGAGUGGGUUGCAAAAGAAGUAGGUAGCUUAACCUUCGGGAGGGCGCUUACCACUUUGUGAUUCAUGACUGGGGUGAAGUCGUAACAAGGUAACCGUAGGGGAACCUGCGGUUGGAUCACCUCCUUACCUUAAAGAA